AGCGAACGCUGGCGGCAGGCCUAACACAUGCAAGUCGAACGAUCCUUCGGGAUAGUGGCGGACGGGUGAGUAACACGUGGGAACGUACCUUUAGGUUCGGGAUAACUCAGGGAAACUUGAGCUAAUACCGGAUAAGCCCUUCGGGGAAAGGAUUUAUCGCCUUUAGAGCGGCCCGCGUUAGAUUAGCUAGUUGGUGAGGU
RNAcentral lists this ribosomal RNA (200 nucleotides) under uncultured bacterium. Its description in RNAcentral is "partial 16S ribosomal RNA". It matches the Rfam family "Bacterial small subunit ribosomal RNA", at positions 29 to 258 of the family's 1533-position model. The record is from RNAcentral.